UUGUACCUGAAAUACAUAAACGAGCGUGAUGUAAUAUUUUUAUCAUUGAAACAUAUCACGAACGGCGACUUCACCUAGUUUCCAAGCAAACAAAUCUUACACAAGAUGCAUUUUCAAUUUCGCGAUACGAUUUACAUCUCAAAGGCGCUCGUAAUAAAUAUAAUCGAAGUUCAUAAGUAGCGAGUUGACAAACGAUUUACAUCUCAAAGCUACUUCCGAUGAAGUUACAAACCUACAUAGAGCACUUCGUUUCCCUUGUUAUUGUGUAAUGAUAUUAUCCGAUGUUUACAUAUAGUUUAUUUCUUCUAAAUUUACUGUUUACCAGUUUAUAGUUCGUAACAUCAUGAGGAAACAGGGAAUAUUUAGAAAUCACGUAUUUGAGGAAAAUUGUUGCAUGCAUGGGCAGUCUAAUCAUAAACCACUACUUCUCUGCGGUAUCAAGAAACUUAAGCAGCUUUUAUGUCUUAAGAAUUCAAGUAGUUUUUGAAACGUGAAAAAUCAUAAGCAAAAGUAAAACUGAGAAAACUACUAAUCACUGUAGUAAAAGAUGGAAAACAGGUCACGGUGGUAAUUCGAAAGCAGCCAUAAACUAUUUUAGGGAUAAGUAUAUGCGGCUAAUAACCAACCGUAAAAUUUCUUCCACACUUUGUACAUCUCUGACUUACUAACCCGUGCAACUCAAUUUCUUUUUCGACUCGUUGAUCUGGAUUUAUGGUAUACUAUGUGCACGCAGACUCGUGUUUAAUUCAUUCUUCAAUUCUACCAGGCCAGGAAACAACCAUUCAACGCACGUGAAAGUAUGUUUCUCUUCUUUCGUAGCAAUUCUACGCAAUUUUUACCGGGAGUAAAAGCGAAGUUAAACGUGACAGCGAAACAUUAAACUUCUUCAUUGCAACGUACAAAGAAAGAAUCGCUAGUGGAUCAGUGGAGCAUAUACGAAGCCGUAAAAAUUACUGGCAUCAAGCAGUCAGUACUCGUGGAAAAUAUAACCUGGCCUGUUAACGGCACGACAAAGAAGAUCGCGGUUAUUAUUUUCCUGUGGAAAGGUUUCCUUACGGGUAUCGUAGCCUGAUUCAAGAAUGCCUACGUUUAUCACCCAGAGGAAUUAUUUACGACCUUACGAACCAAAGUAGAUCAGAUGUAAAAUUUUACACCGAUUUCUAUUUACUUCAGUGGGUAAUGUACAAUCCUUUUGAGGAAAAAUAAAGGCCACGUUCUUUGCGAACGCCCAAUUGCUGCGAACGUAAGGAAAAUUUUACAGGUUCGACAUUCCUUUUUAAUUACUUCUUCGCUAAUAAGAUACGUGCGAAGCAUUCUUCAAUAUCAACACGUCAUAAGUAUGUGUUAUACCGUCGGUGGAAGAGAUAUGUAUAAUGCUUAUGAUGAAAUCAUCAAAGUUUGCUUGUAUGAUUCAACAACCGAAAUAGCCAUCGGUGACAUAUAAAGGAAUAUACUGGAUGCAGGAUAUUUUUUAGAAUUAUAUCAUUAAAUUCAGGAUUCUUACUUUCUUUGCAAUAUACUUGAAAAAAUUGUUUACAGUAUACAGCUUGGUAAAUUGGGAUUCUAGAAAUACACGAUUUUCUACUUUUCAUGUGAUGCAUAUAUAUUACAAAGAAAUCUCAUAUGCCAAUCAUAUAAAUGACUUCUGCAGAUCGAGAUUCCAGCGACUAACUACGUACGUAUACGUGCGACUAGAUCAACGUGUGUCACCAUGUAACGUAUUAAUUUACAAUCUCGUCGUAUCUCUUCGACCAACAGUAAGUACGUCAAGACCAAGUAUUUUUCUUCUUUCUUUACGAGUUAGUGCAGUUUAAAAUUUCCUAUCGUUUAAUUAGAAGCUCAAUAAUAAUGGUGCUGGAAAGUAGCAUUACUCAUAAAGAUAAUCAUCGUUGACAAAUCAAAGAUACAACGAGCAAAAAUCAUUCUACGAUUAAAGUAUCGCGACUUUCUGUUGCGUGUUGAGGCAAAUGAAAUUCAGAAUGUCACGCAACAGAGUAAAAUUUCGCUGUCGCGCACAGAUUGAUCGAAGAAAAAGGUGAAAUUCUCCUUGUCCCUUUUAAAUUAUGAAUAUGCAUUCGUGAAGUGUUUCAAGUUUCCUGCGAUUAAAUAAAUAGAAUUAUGUAUUUACGAUUUAACGAGAUUGCUCUUGAGAUAUAUUUUUCUUCGCUAUAAGAAUUCUUUUUAGCAAGUGGUCGCAAACAAUCACGUGAUCGGUGACAGAGAGGGCUUUUACGAUUCACACGAAUAUAAUUAAUAAGACAGGUCGUUAAAUUUUUAAUUAGAAGCUGGACGGCCGUUAAUGGAAGGAAUUAUACGUUUCUCACUAUCAAUCUUCUCCUCGUACUCGUAUGUAAAGAAGUUCCGUACGUUUUACAACGUUUGCUGUUGCUUGCAGUCACGGCCAGCGUAUAAUCGAUCAAAGGCGGGUAUUAAGUUCGCUUUUUAUUUUUUUAUGUGUUGCGAUAACGAUUCGUGCGACAGGUUGUUACAUAUCAAAAUCGGGCGAUAAAUGUAGACGACUGUUUAUUCGCGGGAAAACGUAUCACGAAAAUGACAUCUUAUCGUUUUGGAAAAUUUCUGUUCGAUUUAAGAUUGUCGAAAAGCGAACAUCCUUUUCUACCAACUAAAAUUUCUUCCUGAUGUUACGCCAUCAUUUUUCAUCGAAGGAGGUUCAUCUAAAAAAUUAGAAGAAAGAGAUAAGACAAAGAAUAUGUCACAAUUUUUUAAUCAAAGGAAAUAGUUUCACCGAGUGCAGAAGUUUAAAUAUCCAACGCAGAAAGUUGACGAUUAUCCACAAUAUCUAUAACUUAUACGUACAAGGAUUUUAUUGAAAUUGGAAUGUAACAAUAGUCGUUAAAUCCACAUAACCAGAAACAAAUUGUGCAAUAGUAAUUGAGAAUUCAGUAUGUACACGAUUCGGUUUGCAGGAAAGGGAAGGCGCUGAGAAGAUCGAGGUAAUUAUCAAUUUCCUGUCUAUCUUUCGGAAAUUAACUCGUUCAACCAGGGUUCGAUCACUGGAACGACUUUCGAUCGGCAUGAUGUGAAACUCUGCCAUUGAAGAUGAUUCCAUAGUAUGUAAAUGCAUACCAUUACGAAAAGGGAUUUCGUUCUACAAAAGUAAAAGUGAACACAACGAAAUUGUUAAGAAACGCGAUCACCCGAUAAAGUGAAGGAAGUCUCUCUAUGGAAAUGCGUCGUUUAAAUAGCUGAUUAUUAGUCAACGUCGGCUUUUCUGGAAUCGAAGAUAUCACGGGAAGCAUUUGCAUCCGCAGAAAAAUAUGAAACCAAUGCAAUCUUUGAAAAGAACUGCUACAUUUUUCCAGCGAGCUCAUGUUUGGAUAUACAAGUGACCAGUUCAACUUGCAUACGCCUUUUUUAUUUUAAUCCAGAACAUGAUCGAUGAAUUAUCGGUUCCUUGAAAAUUUCGAUAUGAACCGUAAUUUAAAUUAUUUUCUUUACAGAUACGGUCGUUGGAUUAUUCCACUCUUUGUCUGUGUAUUUCCACAGACAUUUGUAUUAAUAAAACGACGCUUUGAGUA
This is a long non-coding RNA of Bombus terrestris (buff-tailed bumblebee), 3539 nucleotides long. RefSeq lists it as uncharacterized. The record is from RefSeq and is a predicted model, not a curated record. NCBI's taxonomy places the organism in Eukaryota, Metazoa, Arthropoda, Insecta, Hymenoptera, Apidae. The transcript is spliced from 4 exons.